Pongo pygmaeus (Bornean orangutan) is the source of this 2501-nucleotide long non-coding RNA. RefSeq lists it as uncharacterized. NCBI's taxonomy places the organism in Eukaryota, Metazoa, Chordata, Mammalia, Primates, Hominidae. The transcript is spliced from 3 exons. The record is from RefSeq and is a predicted model, not a curated record.
ACCAUGUAAGAUGUGACUUUGCUCCUCAUUCACCUUCAGCCAUGAUUGUGAGACCUCCCCAGCCAUGUGGUACUGUAGUUUUGUUUCACUCUGAUGCUUCCCUUAACGUGCUUAGCCAGAGUACUUUGGUUAUAAACCACAGUACAUUGUCUUCAACAAGAACGGACUGUCUCAGAGACCCAGGAAAAGGUCUAUGCCAGGUGGAAUGGGGCACAGACUUCUGAGGAAUUGUUAAGAUAAUAUUGACAACAUACCAUCGACUGAGUCAAGAUAUCCAGUAAUCUAGUGAAGAAGCUGAUGAGUUCAUGAAACUGCCAAUUCAAACUCAGCAUAAUUUUAUCGUCUUUCAAGAAGGAGAGAAUGUAAAUAAAUUAGCUAACUUUGGAAUCUUGCAUUCUCAUUUGUUUAGUAGUUAUUUAAAUUCAUUAAAUUGCUUCAUAUAAGUAACCAUUAUUCUUGACUGUAAAAUUAAGUUUUUCUGUGCCUGGCUUAUUUCAAUUAGCAUAAUGUCUUCCUUGGUCAUCCAUGUUAUCACAAAUGGUAAGAUGUUUUUCUUUUGCGAGACUGAUCUUAUUUUCUCAAGAUGACUGACUAGAAACAUCAGAUGCCAGUUCUCAGAAAGAUCAAAGUUACAACUGAAUGGUCAUGAUGUGAACGGAAAGCUAAAGGAAGAGAGCCGGGACUGUUGCAGAGCCCACAGGAAAAAGCUGGGACACAGUAAGGGAAGGUAGCAAGAGUCUGGCAGAGAUUGACCUCCGAGGAGUUUGAAGCCCCACAGAGAGGAUGCAGCAGAGGCUUUCUCCACUGCAGACUAUCACGAAUGCACUUGAAGACAGCCUUUCCAGUGCUAUUCACAGAAACUGCACCCCCGUUGAAAAUGAGCUUGUACCCCACUGGCAUGCAUGAUGGGCAGGGCCCAAUCUCCCCCUCCGUACAUAGAGGAGCAGCAUCCCAGCAACAGAAGGCAGACAAGCCAUGAAGCCUGGUCUGGACUGGAAGAAGAAGCAUUGUCCUGGGGUCAUUUCAGUCCUGGGGUCAUUUCAAAAUAUUCUUCUGCCAGAAGAAUAUUUUCUCUGACCUCAGUAACACUGUGGCCAGAAGUCAAAGGACACUGUCUAUAUGAACUGAAGGUCAUGAGCUCUGCGACAGGGGCACGAUAGGGAAGCAAAUCACAUUCUUCCCUGCCCAGGACUAGAGACAGAUGUAACCCCCCACUUCUUCCCCCAAGACCUCAGUACAUCCCAACACAACUCUCCCUGCCUGCCCCCAUCAGGAUGGGUUGCCUCCACUUAUCAAAGGGCUACCAAAUGUUACUCUUAAGCGCCACCUACUGGAAUGGAGACUGAACUGCAUCACUGAAUAAAAAUCCUGCUGUCCGAAGAGCACAGGGUUAGUGCAUGAGAUAAGCUUCCCGAGACCGCUGCAUUCCCAGACACGCAGGGGAUAGUGUAUUGGCUCAUAUGCCCAACACAUUGCUAAGACAAGCAGCAUUUGAGAAAACCACCACACAUGAUUCCAUAUCUUUGUUACUGUGAAUGUGCUGCAAUGAACAUGGGAAUGCAGAUAACGCAUCAAAAUACUGGUUUCACUUCUUUUGGAUAUAUACCCAGCAGUGAGGUUGCUGGAUCGUAUUUUUAAUUUUCUGGGGAACCUCCAUGCUGUUUUUUAUAACGACUGUACCCAUUUACAUUCCCACCAAUAGUGAACAAGUGUUUUCUUUUCUCCACGUCUCCACCAACACUUAUUAUCUUAUACUUUUUGAUAAAAUACAUUCUACUACGUAUGAGGUGAUAUCUCACUGUGGUUUUAAUUUACAUUUCCCUGAUGGUUAGUGAUUUUGAGAAUUUUUUCAUAUCUGCAUUGGCCAUUUGUAUGUCUUCUUUUAAGAAAUAUCUAAGUCUUUUGUCCAUUUUUAAUUCUGUUAUUUAUUUUCUUGCUAUUGAUUUGUUUAAGUUCCUUAUAAAUUUUGGAUAUUAACCCCUACCAGAUGUAGCAAACUGAAUUCAAUGGCACAUUAAAAGGAUGGUUCACUAUGAUUAGGUGGGAUUCAAGAAUGGAUCACCAUAUGCAAAUCAAUAAAUGUGAUACACCCCAUUAACAGAAUGAAGAACAAAAACCAUAUGAUCAUCUCAAUAGAUGCAGAAAUGCAUUUGACAAAAUUCAACAUUUUUUAUGAUAAAAACUCUCAACAAAUUAGUUAUAGAAGCAAUGUACCUCAACACCAUAAAGGUCAUGUAUCACAAGCCCACAUAACAUCAUAUGCAAUGGUGAAAAGUUAAAGCUUUUUCUCUAAGAUCACACACAGUACAAGUAUGCCCAAUCUUGCUGUUUCUAUUCAACAUAAUAAAGGAAAUCCUAGCCAAAGCGAUUAGGAAAGAGAAACAAUAAAAAACAUCCAACUCACAGAUAAGGGAGUUAAAUUGUUUCUGUUUACAGACAAAAUGAUUAUAUAUAUAUAUAUAUAAUUGUUGGAAAUAAUAAAUGAAUUCAAUAAAGUUUUG